This 462-nucleotide ribosomal RNA is filed under the name uncultured bacterium. RNAcentral's name for it is "SSU rRNA". It matches the Rfam family "Bacterial small subunit ribosomal RNA", at positions 26 to 518 of the family's 1533-position model. The record is from RNAcentral.
AGGACUAACGCUGGCGGCGUGCCUAACACAUGCAAGUCGAACGGGGUAGCAAUACCCAGUGGCAGACGGGUGAGUAACACGUGGUCAACCUACCUUCGCGUGGGGGAUAACUAGCCGAAAGGUUAGCUAAUACCGCAUACGAUCGUUUCGGGGCAUCCCGAGACGAUGAAAGGAGCAAUCCGCACGAAGAGGGGACUGCGUCCCAUUAGUUAGUUGGUGGGGUAACGGUCUACCAAGACUCCGAUGGGUAGCUGGCUUGAGAGAGCGACCAGCCACACUGGAACUGAGACACGGUCCAGACUCCUACGGGAGGCAGCAGUGAGGAAUUUUCCGCAAUGGGCGAAAGCCUGACGGAGCGACGCCGCGUGUGGGAAGAAGGCCUUCGGGUCGUAAACCACUGUCGAAGGGGACGAUAUUGACGGUACCUUGGAGGAGCCCCGGCAACUACGCGCCAGCAGCCGC